This 468-nucleotide ribosomal RNA is filed under the name uncultured bacterium. Its description in RNAcentral is "partial 16S ribosomal RNA". It matches the Rfam family "Bacterial small subunit ribosomal RNA", at positions 28 to 507 of the family's 1533-position model. The record is from RNAcentral.
GACGAACGCUGGCGGCGUGCUUAACACAUGCAAGUCGAACGGAAAGGCCCUGCUUUUGUGGGGUGCUCGAGUGGCGAACGGGUGAGUAACACGUGAGUAACCUGCCCUUGACUUUGGGAUAACUUCAGGAAACUGGGGCUAAUACCGGAUAGGAGCUCCUGCUGCAUGGUGGGGGUUGGAAAGUUUCGGUGGUUGGGGAUGGACUCGCGGCUUAUCAGCUUGUUGGUGGGGUAGUGGCUUACCAAGGCUUUGACGGGUAGCCGGCCUGAGAGGGUGACCGGCCACAUUGGGACUGAGAUACGGCCCAGUCUCCUACGGGAGGCAGCAGUGGGGAAUAUUGCACAGUGGGCGGAAGCCUGAUGCAGCAACGCCGCGUGCGGGAUGACGGCCUUCGGGUUGUAAACCGCUUUCGCCUGUGACGAGGCGUGAGUGACGGUAAUGGGUAAAGAAGCACCGGCUAACUACGUG